Molecule: microRNA precursor, 150 nt
Organism: Sarcophilus harrisii (Tasmanian devil)
Lineage: Eukaryota; Metazoa; Chordata; Mammalia; Dasyuromorphia; Dasyuridae
Gene: sha-mir-130b
Product: sha-mir-130b
Source: Ensembl
AUCUAUUUUUUCUUUAGUAUGAUUGGACAUCUUAUUGACUGAGUGGUAUUUGUCUAGUGCCCUUUUUAUGUUGUACUACUAGUGAUCCUGCACAAGAAGCAGUGCAAUGUUAAAAGGGCAUUGGCCAGUGAUACCGGUCACAUUUCUGGG